RNAcentral lists this ribosomal RNA (689 nucleotides) under uncultured bacterium. RNAcentral describes it as "bacterial SSU rRNA". It matches the Rfam family "Bacterial small subunit ribosomal RNA", at positions 26 to 709 of the family's 1533-position model. The record is from RNAcentral.
CAUUGAACGCUGGCGGAAUGCUUUACACAUGCAAGUCGAACGGCAGCACGGGAGCUUGCUCCUGGUGGCGAGUGGCGAACGGGUGAGUAAUACAUAGGAACAUACCCAGUAAUGGGGGAUAACGCCGAGAAAUCGGUGCUAAUACCGCAUACGCCCUACGGGGGAAAGCGGGGGAUCUUCGGACCUCGCGUUAUUGGAUUGGCCUAUGUCUGAUUAGCUAGUUGGUGAGGUAAAGGCUCACCAAGGCGACGAUCAGUAGCUGGUCUGAGAGGAUGAUCAGCCACACUGGAACUGAGACACGGUCCAGACUCCUACGGGAGGCAGCAGUGGGGAAUUUUGGACAAUGGGCGCAAGCCUGAUCCAGCCAUUCCGCGUGAGUGAAGAAGGCCUUCGGGUUGUAAAGCUCUUUCGGCAGGAACGAAAUGGUUGCGGUUAAUAACCGCGACUUCUGACGGUACCUGAAGAAGAAGCACCGGCUAACUACGUGCCAGCAGCCGCGGUAAUACGUAGGGUGCGAGCGUUAAUCGGAAUUACUGGGCGUAAAGCGUGCGCAGGCGGUUUUGUAAGUCAGAUGUGAAAGCCCCGGGCUUAACCUGGGAAUGGCGUUUGAAACUACAAGGCUAGAGUGUGUCAGAGGGGGGUAGAAUUCCACGUGUAGCAGUGAAAUGCGUAGAGAUGUGGAGGAAUAC